CGAAGCAGUAGCUCAUGCUGCUCAUUUCUCCAAAACAAUCCCUCGAAGGCACAUCUAAAUAAAAUCGACGACUGCCUUGCAAUUAUCUCCACAAGAAACAUUGUCUCACCCAGUAUAAAAAACCUUAAUAUCCCCGCUGACUUCAAAUCCGGAGAACUCAAAACUUCCUAGUUAAAAAUAAUAAUGGGGGAAAUUGCUAAUCUUGGGUUUAAUGGCAUGGCUACAAGCCGCAAUACCCACUUGCAAUAGAGGAAUCGGAAUUCGGUUUUCAAUUGUGUUAUCGAUUGACAGAUUUAUCUACAAUCAAACAAGCAGAUACUGUUGAAUAUCUACCAACUUGCAGUCGACCAUUCCUUUUGCUCCUUUGAACAUUGGUUCAGCCAAAGGACUACAAUAAGUGGAACUAAAGAUCUCCAAUAAAAAUUACGAGGUAAAAACAUAACUAAUAGUGCCGCCCCCUCAAUCCUGGCUACGCCUAUGCAUCAAAAUCAACAAAUAUGCUUUGAUUAUUCUAUUUUGCUCCAUCCCACAACUCUUGAAAACUCGUGUCAGC
Long non-coding RNA from Gordionus sp. m RMFG-2023, 553 nucleotides. RefSeq lists it as uncharacterized. Lineage: Eukaryota; Metazoa; Nematomorpha; Gordioida; Chordodea; Parachordodidae. The record is from RefSeq and is a predicted model, not a curated record. The transcript has 4 exons.